UGCUAAUUACUCUCUGACACUCCUUUAGAAGGCCUGUAGAUGAUGUUUCACAUUUUUCUUAUGACAAGACUUAGAUGCCUUAGCUCUUUAUCAGUGGUGAACUCUUCCACUACUUCUUUUUAUUGUUGGAACUGUUCCACCUACGACCAGAAUAAACUUGUUUGUGCCUCCACCAAGUAAAACAACAAUUUAGUCAAUAAGAUCACCUGUGUUAGGAUAAGUAAAGUUAAUUACUGCACCUG
RNAcentral lists this unclassified non-coding RNA (242 nucleotides) under Hevea brasiliensis (rubber tree). Lineage: Eukaryota; Viridiplantae; Streptophyta; Magnoliopsida; Malpighiales; Euphorbiaceae. The record is from RNAcentral.